CGGCAAGCAGGGCAUGAUGGGGGACAUAGGUUGGCAUCCCUCUGCCCAAAUGUUGAUCCUGACCCAUGGAGCUGUCCCUUGCCAUUGACUGUAAGGCUGGGCCCUGCUGCCGCCAGGCCUGGUUGACAGACCUGUCUUUGCAGGUUUCUACCCACGAGACCAGAACAGAAAACGACAUGGAGGUCAUCGACCUCUCGCCCCAGACCUGGGAGUCUGGGCAUCAUGCCACCAACAUUGACCAGAGCAGGCUGGAGACAGAGAAACUCUGACUGUGUGUUCCUAUUUUGUCCCUGACGCCUACAUGCCAGUGGGAAAAUGAACCUCCAGAAAACAUAGAGAAGACCAGCCCAGAACUGAUGUUGCCCAGGGAGAGAAGGCAGGAGGAGCGUGGCCAGCUUCUGGGGAGAUUUGGACGUUACCCCUGCAGGCCGCAGGCCUUGCCUGUCACCAGUGAAAUCUCCUGCUUCCGGGGCGCCUGGCUGGAACGCUGCACAGCAGAUACCUUUCCCAUCGCGGUCUCUACCAUCCUCAGUGCUGUGGUGUGCAGAAUUGAAAUGAACAUCAUGGGAUCAGGUUGGCAGUGCCAGGC
Molecule: long non-coding RNA, 589 nt
Filed under: Dasypus novemcinctus (nine-banded armadillo)
Lineage: Eukaryota; Metazoa; Chordata; Mammalia; Cingulata; Dasypodidae
Description: lncRNA (ENSDNOG00000050042.1)
Source: RNAcentral